This 478-nucleotide ribosomal RNA is filed under the name Boana raniceps (Chaco treefrog). RNAcentral describes it as "partial large subunit ribosomal RNA". It matches the Rfam family "Bacterial large subunit ribosomal RNA", at positions 1926 to 2555 of the family's 2925-position model. The record is from RNAcentral. Lineage: Eukaryota; Metazoa; Chordata; Amphibia; Anura; Hylidae.
AACGGCCGCGGUAUCCUAACCGUGCGAAGGUAGCGUAAUCACUUGUUCUUUAAAUAAGGACUAGUAUGAAUGGCACCACGAGGGUUAAACUGUCUCCUUUUUUUAAUCAGUGAAACUAAUCUCCCCGUGAAGAAGCGGGGAUUCUUUUAUAAGACGAGAAGACCCUAUGGAGCUUUAAACAAGUUAACACCUGCUACUAAUCUUCACUUUCCUGAACCACCACAUUAAGUAUAGCACCUCUGAUUAACAGUUUUCGAUUGGGGUGAUCAUGGAGCAAAAAUCAACCUCCACGACGAAAAGGAACACCUCCUUGAGCCAAAAGCUACAACUUUAGGCACUAAAAAACUAACGCACUUUGACCCAAUUCUUUGAGCAACGAACCAAGUUACCCUAGGGAUAACAGCGCAAUCCACUUUAAGAGCCCCUAUCGACAAGUGGGUUUACGACCUCGAUGUUGGAUCAGGGUAUCCCAGUGGUG